AGUGACCUCUGACCCCUGAGUGACUCCUGAGUGACCACUGAUGACCCCUGAGUGACCCCUGAGUGACCCCUGAGUGACCACAAGGAGCGGUCACUGUGUGACCCCUGACCCGACCUGGGCAGAUUUUUCCAUUAAAAAAGGGAAAUUUUGGGUUUUUUCA
This is a long non-coding RNA of Poecile atricapillus (Black-capped chickadee), 160 nucleotides long. RefSeq lists it as uncharacterized. NCBI's taxonomy places the organism in Eukaryota, Metazoa, Chordata, Aves, Passeriformes, Paridae. The record is from RefSeq and is a predicted model, not a curated record. The transcript has 2 exons.